RNAcentral lists this non-coding RNA (32 nucleotides) under Homo sapiens (human). The record is from RNAcentral. Lineage: Eukaryota; Metazoa; Chordata; Mammalia; Primates; Hominidae.
GGCUCUUCACUGCUCUGGGUCCUCACGUUAGC